This 497-nucleotide ribosomal RNA is filed under the name uncultured bacterium. RNAcentral describes it as "partial 16S ribosomal RNA". It matches the Rfam family "Bacterial small subunit ribosomal RNA", at positions 28 to 507 of the family's 1533-position model. The record is from RNAcentral.
GAUGAACGCUGGCGGCGUGCCUAAUACAUGCAAGUCGAGCGAACAGACGAGGAGCUUGCUCCUCUGACGUUAGCGGCGGACGGGUGAGUAACACGUGGAUACCCUACCUAUAAGACUGGGAUAACUUCGGGAAACCGGAUCUAAUACCGGAUAAUAUAUUGAACCGCAUGGUUCAAUAGUGAAAGACGGUUUUGCUGUCACUUAUAGAUAGAUCCGCGCCGCAUUAGCUAGUUGGUAAGGUAACGGCUUACCAAGGCAACGAUGCGUAGCCGACCUGAGAGGGUGAUCGGCCACACUGGAACUGAGACACGGUCCAGACUCCUACGGGAGGCAGCAGUAGGGAAUCUUCCGCAAUGGGCGAAAGCCUGACGGAGCAACGCCGCGUGAGUGAUGAAGGUCUUCGGAUCGUAAAACUCUGUUAUUAGGGAAGAACAAAUGUGUAAGUAACUAUGCACGUCUUGACGGUACCUAAUCAGAAAGCCACGGCUAACUACGUG